This is an RNA transcript of Capra hircus (goat), 322 nucleotides long. RefSeq lists it as uncharacterized. Lineage: Eukaryota; Metazoa; Chordata; Mammalia; Artiodactyla; Bovidae. The record is from RefSeq and is a predicted model, not a curated record. The transcript has 2 exons.
AACACUCAUCCUCUGCCUGGCGUUUGCCGGAGUCAAAGUCUACCAGAGAAAACGAUUGGAAGCAAAGCAGCAAAAGGUGGAAGCUGAGAAAGAGGAAGCAGGCGGAGAAGAAGGAGAGCUAAAGGGAGUGAAAGAUUUUGUGGUGUAAGUGUCAGCUCGAGUGGACUCCAGCUGAGAAGAAAGUCUUAAUCAUGGAACGAUAUGUCAGAAGACAAACGCGCAGCCUCUAGCCUAACUGAAAAUGAUGUGAAUUUUUAUAUGCUUGUAGAAGAACCAGUAUUUUGUUUGCUAAAAUAAAAUAACCUUUGUAGAAUAAGCCAGA